This 418-nucleotide ribosomal RNA is filed under the name uncultured archaeon. Its description in RNAcentral is "partial 16S ribosomal RNA". It matches the Rfam family "Archaeal small subunit ribosomal RNA", at positions 755 to 1170 of the family's 1478-position model. The record is from RNAcentral.
AAACGAUGCAGACUCGGUGAUGCAUUGGCUUGUGGCCAAUGCAGUGCCGCAGGGAAGCCGUUAAGUCNNNNNCCUGGGAANNNNNUACGCAAGUAUGAAACUUAAAGGAAUUGGCGGGGGAGCACCACAAGGGGUGAAGCCUGCGGUUCAAUUGGAGUCAACGCCAGAAAUCUUACCUGGGGAGACAGCAGAAUNNNNNUCAAGCUGAAGACUUUACCAGACACGCUGAGAGGUGGUGCAUGGCCGUCGCCAGCUCGUGCCGUGAGAUGUCCUGUUAAGUCAGGUAACGAGCGAGACCCCUGCGUCUAGUUGCUACCAUUACUCUCGGGAGCAGUGGAGCGAAUUAGACGGACCGCCACAGUUAAUGUGGAGGAAGGAAGGGGCCACGGCAGGUCAGUAUGCCCCGAAACCCUAGGGC